GUGCCAGCAGCCGCGGUAAUACAGAGGUCUCAAGCGUUGUUCGGAAUCACUGGGCGUAAAGGGUGCGUAGGCCGCACGGUAAGUCAGAGGUGAAAUCCCGGAGCUCAACUCCGGAAUGGCCUCCGAUACUGCCGUGCUCGAGGACUGGAGAGGAGUCUGGAAUUCACAGUGGAGCAGUGAAAUGCGUAGAUAUUGUGAGGAACACUAGUGGCGAAGGCGAGACUCUGGACAGUUCCUGACGCUGAGGCACGAAGGCCAGGGGAGCAAACGGGAUUAGAUACCCCCGUAGUCC
RNAcentral lists this ribosomal RNA (292 nucleotides) under uncultured bacterium. RNAcentral's name for it is "partial 16S ribosomal RNA". It matches the Rfam family "Bacterial small subunit ribosomal RNA", at positions 505 to 796 of the family's 1533-position model. The record is from RNAcentral.